Molecule: transfer RNA, 70 nt
Filed under: Heterocephalus glaber (naked mole-rat)
Lineage: Eukaryota; Metazoa; Chordata; Mammalia; Rodentia; Bathyergidae
Rfam family: tRNA
About the family: Transfer RNA (tRNA) molecules are approximately 80 nucleotides in length. Their secondary structure includes four short double-helical elements and three loops (D, anti-codon, and T loops). Further hydrogen bonds mediate the characteristic L-shaped molecular structure. tRNAs have two regions of fundamental functional importance: the anti-codon, which is responsible for specific mRNA codon recognition, and the 3' end, to which the tRNAs corresponding amino acid is attached (by aminoacyl-tRNA synthetases). tRNAs cope with the degeneracy of the genetic code in two manners: having more than one tRNA (with a specific anti-codon) for a particular amino acid; and 'wobble' base-pairing, i.e. permitting non-standard base-pairing at the 3rd anti-codon position.
Source: Rfam by way of RNAcentral
GGGUAAGUAGCUCAGUGAUAGAGCACUUGCCUACCAUGCACAAGGUCAUGGGUUCAAUUCUCAUUACCUC